Molecule: ribosomal RNA, 257 nt
Filed under: Bacillus licheniformis
Lineage: Bacteria; Bacillati; Bacillota; Bacilli; Caryophanales; Bacillaceae
Description: partial 16S ribosomal RNA
Rfam family: Bacterial small subunit ribosomal RNA
Source: RNAcentral
AGUCGAGCGGACAGAUGGGAGCUUGCUCCCUGAUGUUAGCGGCGGACGGGUGAGUAACACGUGGGUAACCUGCCUGUAAGACUGGGAUAACUCCGGGAAACCGGGGCUAAUACCGGAUGCUUNAUUGAACCGCAUGGUUCAAUUAUAAAAGGUGGCUUUUAGCUACCACUUACAGAUGGACCCGCGGCGCAUUAGCUAGUUGGUGAGGUAACGGCUCACCAAGGCAACGAUGCGUAGCCGACCUGAGAGGGUGAUCG